Molecule: long non-coding RNA, 473 nt
Filed under: Pongo abelii (Sumatran orangutan)
Lineage: Eukaryota; Metazoa; Chordata; Mammalia; Primates; Hominidae
Description: lncRNA (ENSPPYG00000037296.1)
Source: RNAcentral
CUUAAUGUCCAGAAAUUCAUACUGAUGACAGAGAGAGAGUGAAGACACACUCGAGGCCUGGGAAAAAGAAAGCAUACCAAAUGUAGGAGGUGAAGCAAAUCACACACAUGCAUUUUGUUUUCGCUUAUAGAAAGAACACCCCCUCCUAAACAUGGAGAUUGUUAUAUAGAAUGUCCAAGGCAAAUUAAGGAAAAUAAUUAUUGUAGCUGAUGAAGCAGAAACCCUAUUAGAGUUAAAUGCUACUUCACAGUACUCAGUGGUGGAGGUUCUGAAGAAGUUUCUAGUGUAAAGGAAGCCCUAUGGAUGUUCUGUGAUCACCCACUCUCACAUCCAUAAUGGGUCAAGUGUCCACCUAAGAGAACCAGAGGACCCAGAAGCACAACCCAGAGGUAGAGAGAUAUUUGUAAUCCUUCUGGGUAGUUCAAGGUACUGUCCUCAAAGCAGAAACCAGUGUACAGGAAGAGACAGCAGGU